GAAAGUUGCAAAGUACUUUGAAGAGAGAGUUCAAGAGGACGUGAAACCGAUAGGAUGGAAGCAGAUGAAGUUGACGAACGAGUGUUGUAUUCAGAGCUGCAUCUUGUGUGCGGUUUGUUCUUGCAACCGAUGUGGGCCGGCGGUUCUGGUUAAUGCACUGUGCCAAUCGUCGAUGGUGACCCUGCGGAGGGAUACUCGGUCGGCGUGCGGUGCGUGGUAUAGCUAGGGUUUUGUCGCCGGUCUUGAAGUCAGCGCCUCAUCUGACCCGUCUUGAAACACGGACCAAGGAGUGUAGCGUUUACGCGAGUCUUAGAGUGUUUGAAAACUUUGAGGCGCAACGAAAGUGAAUGCAGCUUGACCUGCUGACUUGGGAUGCGUUGUCUCUUGUGGACGGCGUCGGACCAAGGUUUUAUCGCGAUCGCUUGCGAUGCGGUGAAAAUAGAGCGUAAACGGUGCGACCCGAAAGAUGGUGAACUAUGCCUGAGCAGGAUGAAGCCGGAGGAAACUCUGGUGGAAGUCCGAAGCGGUUCUGACGUGCAAAUCGAUCGUCUGACUUGGGUAUAGGGGCGAAAGACUAAUCGAACCAUCUAGUA
Molecule: ribosomal RNA, 593 nt
Filed under: Steinernema cameroonense
Lineage: Eukaryota; Metazoa; Nematoda; Chromadorea; Rhabditida; Steinernematidae
Description: eukaryotic LSU rRNA
Rfam family: Eukaryotic large subunit ribosomal RNA
Source: RNAcentral